UAGGGAAUCUUCGGCAAUGGGCGGAAGUCUGACCGAGCAACGCCGCGUGAGUGAAGAAGGUUUUCGGAUCGUAAAGCUCUGUUGUUAGAGAAGAACGUUGGUAGGAGUGGAAAAUCUACCAAGUGACGGUAACUAACCAGAAAGGGACGGCUAACUACGUGCCAGCAGCCGCGGUAAUACGUAGGUCCCGAGCGUUGUCCGGAUUUAUUGGGCGUAAAGCGAGCGCAGGCGGUUCUUUAAGUCUGAAGUUAAAGGCAGUGGCUUAACCAUUGUACGCUUUGGAAACUGGAGGACUUGAGUGCAGAAGGGGAGAGUGGAAUUCCAUGUGUAGCGGUGAAAUGCGUAGAUAUAUGGAGGAACACCGGUGGCGAAAGCGGCUCUCUGGUCUGUAACUGACGCUGAGGCUCGAAAGCGUGGGGAGCAAACAGG
This 429-nucleotide ribosomal RNA is filed under the name Bacillota bacterium. RNAcentral's name for it is "Firmicutes bacterium partial 16S ribosomal RNA". It matches the Rfam family "Bacterial small subunit ribosomal RNA", at positions 355 to 776 of the family's 1533-position model. The record is from RNAcentral. Lineage: Bacteria; Bacillati; Bacillota.